UGGGGAAUUUUGCACAAUGGGCGAAAGCCUGAUGCAGCGACGCCGCGUGCGGGAAGAAGGCCUUCGGGUUGUAAACCGCUUUCAACAGGGAAGAAGGAAUGAGAGUUAAUACCUCUCUGCCUUGACGGUACCUGUAGAAGAAGCACCGGCUAAUUUCGUGCCAGCAGCCGCGGUAAUACGAAAGGUGCAAGCGUUGUUCGGAUUUACUGGGCGUAAAGAGAUCGUAGGUGGCUUGUUAAGUCGGAUGUGAAAUCCCGGGGCUCAACCCCGGAACUGCAUCCGAUACUGGCAGGCUUGAGUUUGGGAGGGGUAAGCGGAAUUCCGUGUGUAGCAGUGAAAUGCGUAGAUAUACGGAGGAACACCUGAGGCGAAGGCGGCUUACUGGACCAAUACUGACACUGAGGAUCGAAAGCGUGGGUAGCAAACA
This 427-nucleotide ribosomal RNA is filed under the name uncultured Zetaproteobacteria bacterium. Its description in RNAcentral is "bacterial SSU rRNA". It matches the Rfam family "Bacterial small subunit ribosomal RNA", at positions 355 to 774 of the family's 1533-position model. The record is from RNAcentral. Lineage: Bacteria; Pseudomonadati; Pseudomonadota; Candidatius Mariprofundia.